CAGUAGCCACGGUAAUACGAACCGUGCGAACGUUAUUCGGAAUUACUGGGCUUAAAGCGCGUGUAGGCGGUUAGAUAAGUCUGAAGUUAAAGGCUGUGGCUUAACCAUAGUACGCUUUGGAAACUGUUUAACUUGAGUGCAAGAGGGGAGAGUGGAAUUCCAUGUGUAGCGGUGAAAUGCGUUGAGAUCGGAAAGAACACCAACGGCGAAAGCACUCUGCUGGGCCGACACUGACACUGAGAGACGAAAGCUAGGGGAGCAAAUGGGAUUAGAUACCCCUGUAGUCCCUGUCUCUUAUACA
RNAcentral lists this ribosomal RNA (301 nucleotides) under uncultured bacterium. RNAcentral's name for it is "partial 16S ribosomal RNA". It matches the Rfam family "Bacterial small subunit ribosomal RNA", at positions 509 to 808 of the family's 1533-position model. The record is from RNAcentral.